This is a long non-coding RNA of Ziziphus jujuba (common jujube), 1372 nucleotides long. RefSeq lists it as uncharacterized. The record is from RefSeq and is a predicted model, not a curated record. Lineage: Eukaryota; Viridiplantae; Streptophyta; Magnoliopsida; Rosales; Rhamnaceae. The transcript has 5 exons.
GUUGUGCUUUUAGGGAGAAUAGGAUAGCAGGUUGCCACAAAAAGGAAUGCUAUCACUGCAAUAUGCAGAUAUUGCUCAGUGGCCAUUGCCCAAUGACAUCCAAGUAUCAUCUCUGUUUCAAAUUAUUAAAAGAAGAGAGAGAAAUAGAGAAAGCAUAAAGCUUUUGUUUAUGGCAAAACCCUGUUUUUCUCUCCAAAAUCACUCUGCAAAGAAAACCUCUCUAAUAGACGGAGCAAAACACUUUAGAGCUUGAUAGUUGAGAAGGGAACAAGCUAUUGUAACUUUCUUGAUCUGCAUAGUUCCUCUUCUUUUGUGAUUGACCUUAUUUUGAUGGACCUUGGAUAAGAUCUGUUUGUUUCUUGCAACAUAUUGAAUCUUCAAAACACAAAUGCAGUUACGAUAUCACUGCAAUAUGCAGAUAUAGCUCAGUGGCCAUUGCCCAAUGACAUCCAAGUACCAUCUCUGUUUUAAAUUAUUAAAAGAAGAGAGAGAAAUAGAGAAAGCAAAAAGCAUUUGUUUAUGGCAAAACCUGUUUUUCUCUCCAAAAUCACUCUGCGAAGAAAAUCUCUCUGAUAGACAGAGCAAAACACUUUAGAGCUUCAUAGUUGAGGGGGAAACAAGAUUUUCAGGGGAUCCUUGUCAACUAGCUUAGCGAAAUUCAAUGGCUGCUAAGCAAAGGAGUGGCGGGGAAAAAGUAGGGCCAAGCAGAAGUACAAAUACUAUUCAUGAACCAAAUUCUUCCAAGACAAAGCCGGUACCACAGUUUUUUGGAUGAUAUUUCAAUCCAUCCUGGACAGCAAAAAACUGAAAAUCCCAAAAAAAAUUGUGCAGAUUUAUGGCAGGGGAUUGUCUUUAAUUGCUUCCAUUUCUCUUCCAAAUGGUAGCAAGUGGAAGCUUGGUUGGAGAAAGCUAGAUUUCCAUUGGCUGAUGGAUGACAAACGUUUACAAGACAUUAUUCUAUCCUGUUGAUUCUGAAGAUCAAGAGGUGGAAACUGUAGAUGAUAAUGAAAAUGAUGACAAUGACGACAACAAUGACGACAACGAUGAUGAUGAGGAGGAGGAUGUAUGGGUAGAAUAAUGAACUAAGGACAUCUCACAAAACAUGGUCCAAUGGAUAGCGACGAGAUUGCCACGUGUGAAUUAAAUAACACAUCAGCAAUAAUACUGCGAUGGUAUAAUAUCUUGGGGGAAGGGAAAUAACUCGGACUCGAAAUAGUUCAUCUGAAGUGCUCAUCCAAGACUGUACUCAUUCGAGGUAAAUUAUCCAAGGUAGUUCGAAAUACGACAAAAUCCGAUGUAAUAGUCAAAUUACCAAGAAGAAUUGCAAAGAUUGAAACAACAUUCGAAUAAAUAUUGGGAUUUUAUUAAUAAA